AACGUGGAGGAAGGUGGGGAUGACGUCAAAUCAUCAUGCCCCUUAUGUCUAGGGCUACACACGUGCUACAAUGGCUGGUACAACGAGCAGCAAACCCGCGAGGGGGAGCAAAACUUGAAAGCCAGUCUCAGUUCGGAUUGUAGGCUGAAACUCGCCUACAUGAAGUUGGAGUUGCUAGUAAUCGCGAAUCAGCAUGUCGCGGUGAAUACGUUCCCGGGUCUUGUACACACCGCCCGUCACACCAUGAGAGCCGGUAACACCCGAAGCCCGUGAGGUAACCGUAAGGAGCCAGCGGUCGAAGGUGGGAUUGGUGAUUGGGGUGAAGUCGUAACAAGGUAGCCGUAGGAGAACCUGCGGCUGGAUCACCUCCUUUCUAGGGA
RNAcentral lists this ribosomal RNA (380 nucleotides) under Clostridium sp. K25. RNAcentral's name for it is "bacterial SSU rRNA". It matches the Rfam family "Bacterial small subunit ribosomal RNA", at positions 1160 to 1533 of the family's 1533-position model. The record is from RNAcentral. Lineage: Bacteria; Bacillati; Bacillota; Clostridia; Eubacteriales; Clostridiaceae.